This 895-nucleotide long non-coding RNA is filed under the name Bemisia tabaci. Its description in RNAcentral is "lncRNA ENSASIAIIG008770". The record is from RNAcentral. Lineage: Eukaryota; Metazoa; Arthropoda; Insecta; Hemiptera; Aleyrodidae.
GUUACGUGCAGUUGCCAGCAGCGAUUGUUUCAGGGAAAGGGGGGGGGGGAGUUCUCGUCACCGGAAAAUUUGCGGUUACGUUCACUCAUUUGCCAAAGUUGGACAGCUCGGGCGGUUUCUCACUCAACAAUUUCUAUUCUUAAAAGUGGCUUUCCAUGUGCCUCCCUAAUUUAAUAGAAGUGGUUAACAGUGCGCCGAUUCACAAUUUCAGUUCACGAGGUACAAUAUAAGUAAUAAAUUCCCUGCGUGUGCCGUAUAUUCAGUUCUACAGAUGUGCAUGGUGAAGGUGUUGAUUACAGUGGCAGCGCUAGUGGUCAGCGGCGGUUCGUCGGCCCGUCUCUCUCGACUGAGCUUUGAGAAGGGCGACUUGCUGAAGACGAGUAGGCUGGGGUUCCGGGUCUGGAAGCACUUCAAUUUGCCGCCGCAUCAUUACUAUUACGCCCUCUCGGACCACGAGAUCUUCUCGACGACCGUGGAGCUCCAGACAGAGUAUGCGGACGAGGUAACCAAAAAGGUCAAGCUCCGAUCCGUCUUGUACACCCUUGACGUGAAAACCCCUCUAAAGGAAUUCGACUCCAUCCUCAUGACGAAAGCCCGGGUCCGGGGGGCCACCAUCGGGGACACGGGCAUCACCCUGGCGCGCAGGAUGAGCGAGAUGACCCUUUUCCACCACACCACGCGCUGCAACAACUACCACUACAUUGAUUACGUCGUCCACGGCAAGACUUUCGGCAGGUGGUGGAAGCCGCUAUACUGGCCGAAGCACCCCAAGUGCCCGGUCCACCUCGUCAUCGAGCCUGGGGCAAAUGUUGGCGAUCCCGCUAAGCCUGAAUACGUCACAUCGUUGAAGGAGAAGAAUGGAGAAAUCAUGCUACCGCACCUGAAAAAACCUUGA